Molecule: non-coding RNA, 87 nt
Filed under: Palpitomonas bilix
Lineage: Eukaryota
Source: RNAcentral
GAGGUCGACGGACGAUAUUCGAAACAUCUGUAUUCUGCUGAUAGACACGUCUCCACACGAUGUGGAGUGGCUCCCUCCCUUGUCCCC